CUCAAAGCAGAAGCAGAAUAGAUAGGUUCAGAGGGAGGAAGAUAAGGAGGUUGCUUUAGCAGGUUCAGAAUUCUAGUCUUAUGGAAAACCACAGACAGACAGACAGACACAAUGGCUACAUAAAUAUAUGAAUUUACUUGAUAAUGCCUAAUGGCUUAUGUUACAAUAUAAUGACCCCAACACCAGAAUAUUUGUGAAGGAUUUCCUAUCCAAGUGUUCCCUGGCCUGUCUGUCCACCUAUCACAGCCACCAGUUCCCACAGGCAGCCCUUAGCUUCUAGCCAUUGUAUUAGGACAAGAGCACACUGCGUUGUGAUGGUCUCUGCCACUGAGGCUGUGCAAGAGAAACACUACGUGUGACACAUGGAGCCGUCACCAGGGAGACCUAUGCGGGAGACAUGACUGCACUGCGAAUAACAAGUAUCUCUUGCAAACACACUAUGACCUUCCAGACCUUAAGAGAGAGGCAUUUCUGAAGCAUCGCUGUUUUCAAAGAUCAAUAUUCCAAUUUUCCUGUAAGGAGGGUUCUGUCCUCAUGUGUCCUCGUGUGCAUGUAUUAUGAGACCCCAACACAAACUCGAAGUCUGCUGCUAAUAGUCAGCUUCACACGGCACUUCUGGGUUACUACUGUCUGUAUUUUAUGGUGAGGCCCCUACACGAUGAACAUUCUGAGAAAGCGCCUUUCCUUCCCCUGACACAGCAAGCAUCCCAUGAGAAGCAAAGCCCAUUCUUUCAGCUGCUUUUGUUUAUGGCCAGGAAAGGAAGCCACAGAUUCUCUGAGUAGCAUCAAUGAGGACUCUGGAGCCUGGUCACACUUCCUCCUUCACAGGUGGCUUAAUGAGGGUGUAGGUCAUCACAUACAUUCCCAGCGUCUGCAACCAAUUACGUGAGAGAAAAGUUCCAAGAAAGCUUUGGCGAUGGAAUGCAAGAGAAUCAGCUUUUACAUCAUUUGGUAGCUCACUGCGUCCAGAAAUAUCAGAAUUUAAUGCCUAUUUCUCUGUGACGGACAGGUGAGUGUAUUCUAUUGCUCUGUCAAAGGUAACGGCGAAGAGCCAUUUCCCCCUCUGGAUCCUAUGUUCUCUUCCACUCCUGACUUCCCACUCCAGAAAGGCCUGGCAAAGCUCUGAGCGCCCACCAAACAGCAAACUGCAGCACUGCAACAGUAGAGAG
RNAcentral lists this long non-coding RNA (1169 nucleotides) under Mus spicilegus (steppe mouse). Its description in RNAcentral is "lncRNA (ENSMSIG00000006105.1)". The record is from RNAcentral. Lineage: Eukaryota; Metazoa; Chordata; Mammalia; Rodentia; Muridae.